This 485-nucleotide ribosomal RNA is filed under the name uncultured bacterium. RNAcentral describes it as "bacterial SSU rRNA". It matches the Rfam family "Bacterial small subunit ribosomal RNA", at positions 8 to 507 of the family's 1533-position model. The record is from RNAcentral.
AGAGUUUGAUCAUGGCUCAGAACGAACGCUGGCGGCGCGUCUUAACAUGCAAGUCGAACGAUCUGUAGCAAUACAGGGAGUGGCGGACGGGUGAGGAACACGUAGGAAUCUACCUAGAAGAGCGGGACAACUUUGGGAAACCGGGGCUAAUACCGCAUAGUACAGAGAUGUUAAAGGGCUAGCAAUAGUCGCUUCUAGAUGAGCCUGCGGUCUAUCAGCUUGUUGGUGAGGUAAUGGCUCACCAAGGCAGCGACGGAUAGCCGGUCUGAGAGGAUGAUCGGCCACACUGGCACUGAGACACGGGCCAGACUCCUACGGGAGGCAGCAGUUAAGAAUCUUGCGCAAUGGGGGAAACCCUGACGCAGCGACGCCGCGUGAAGGAUGAAGGCUUUCGGGUUGUAAACUUCGGUAGACUGGGAAGAAGAACUACGUUCGUUGAGGGCGUAGAGUGACGGUACCAGUCUGAAGCCCCGGCUAAUUACGUG